This 360-nucleotide RNase P RNA is filed under the name Gemmatimonadota bacterium. RNAcentral's name for it is "Gemmatimonadetes bacterium RNase P RNA component class A". It matches the Rfam family "Bacterial RNase P class A". From Rfam's summary of the family: Ribonuclease P (RNase P) is a ubiquitous endoribonuclease, found in archaea, bacteria and eukarya as well as chloroplasts and mitochondria. Lineage: Bacteria; Pseudomonadati; Gemmatimonadota. RNAcentral also lists the same sequence under 1 other name. The record is from RNAcentral.
GUGGUGGAGCGUGACAGGUCGCGGUCCGCUUCGGGCGGACCGAGGAAAGUCCGAGCUCCAUAGGGCAGACUGCCAGGUAACGCCUGGGCGCCGCGAGGCGACGGACAGGGCCACAGAAAAGACACCGCCCACUUCGGUGGGUAAGGGUGAAAUGGUGGGGUAAGAGCCCACCGCGCGGCUGGCAACAGUCGUGGCACGGCAACCCCCAGUCGGAGCAAGGCCAAAUAGGCGGCGAGGCCCGGCCCGGGCCGUCAGAGCCGCGGGUAGGCCGCUCGAGGUGGCGGGUGACCGCCAUCCCAGAUAGAUGACCUUCCGGCGCUCCGCGUCGAACAGAACUCGGCUUACGGCUCCGCCACCUCU